GCGGCCAUGGUGUUCAACGGCAGCACGCCAGUCUUCCAAACUGACGGUGCGGGUUCGAAUCCCGCUGUCCGCUCCA
This 76-nucleotide transfer RNA is filed under the name Actinomycetota bacterium. Its description in RNAcentral is "tRNA-Gly". It matches the Rfam family "tRNA". Rfam says of the family: Transfer RNA (tRNA) molecules are approximately 80 nucleotides in length. Their secondary structure includes four short double-helical elements and three loops (D, anti-codon, and T loops). The record is from RNAcentral. Lineage: Bacteria; Bacillati; Actinomycetota.